Molecule: non-coding RNA, 4938 nt
Organism: Manis javanica (Malayan pangolin)
Lineage: Eukaryota; Metazoa; Chordata; Mammalia; Pholidota; Manidae
Source: RefSeq, a predicted model, not a curated record
AUUUAUUAUGGGCUUAAAUGUUAAAGGAAAGCCAACGAAGAAUGUAGGAAAAAAAGAACAUUUUCAUGAAAAUGAAGUAGGCAGAAUUCUUAAGCAGAACCUAAAAGUGCUGAACCACAGAGAAAAAAGAUUAGCACAAUGUUUUAACAUUCUGAAGAGCAAAGAAAACCAAGCCUCAAAGUAGGCGUGAUUUUAAUAUCUAUGUCUAAAGUGGAUUCAUAACCAGAAUGCAUAAGGAGCUCCGACAGAUCAAUAAGAAAAAAAAUGAAUGGGCUCGUAGAAGAACUGGCAAACCUUUGGAAGGGCACUUCACAAAUGAGACCACUCAAAAAAUGGCCAAUUAACGUAUGGAGACCAUGGGGCGAGUGAAACAGUGGGAGAAGCAAAGUGCUGGCAGGACCCCAGACGGAGCGGCCAGCACGCUCAUACGGCUGGUGGGGUUGUGUACUGCUACAGCCUCUUGGGAAACUGGAGCGUCUAAAGUUGAACACAGGUGUAGACAAAUUGAACACAGGUAUAAAUGAUCGGUGUUAGAGUCACACAGGAGAAUACCAUUCAGCAGUGGGAAUGACCAACUGUAUGCAGUGGUGUGGGUGAGUCUCAGAAAUAGUGAGCACAAAAAUCCAUGUCCCAAAGCAAGUGUAUGUGUAAAUCCAUUUAUACAAAAUUUGAAAACAAGCAGAUCCAAUCUGUGGGGCGAGGGGUUGAGGGGGAAGGGCUUCCAGGUACAGCUGAAGCUGUUUAUUUUGGUGCCGGCUACAUGAGUGUGAAUGGUUUCUGAGAAUUUAUCAAGCGGCACUCUUAGGACUUACACUUUUUGUAUGUCCAUUGUACUUAAAUGCUGGCUCAAAACCGUCAGAAAUCAGCCCUGGAAGGGAUGUACCUAAUUCCAGUCUCUGGGUUAUAGGGACUUCUUGCUUUCUUCUUUAGGUCCAUGUUUUUCCAAGAUGAGCAUAUAUCACUUGGACUGUAAAACAAUUUUUUGGUUUUGUUUUGCCUGUGUGACAGUCAGUCCACCUGUCUCCAUCAGAACAAGCCCUGUGAUGUGGCCCAUGUGCGGGGAAGUAUGGCCCUUAAGGCAGAGUGCACCGGGAGAAGUUCCCGCUCUCAGAGAAGGUCCACCUAGUAACACAGCUCCUGGUGAGGCCAAGGCCAGAACUUGAACACAGGCCCAUCUCCAGAGGCCCGCAGAGCUGACCCGCCCUCCAGGCAGCACGAACCUCUUCCUUCCCAUGGUGACUCACCCUCCGUGCCAUCCUGUUCAGGCCAGGCUCUGACCCUGUGGGAAGCAGCCAAAGGGCACAGCAUGUCCACAAAGGCCAGGGUGGCGUCCUCUUUGUUCAUUUCCGCUCGUAAGGAGUAGGUCCCGACCUGUCCUUCAUGGACUAGAAAGUGUCAAGGGGAACCAAGAAAAGAAAGGUUGCAAAUAUUCUAAAUAUGGCUCAUUUCAAAGGGCGAGAGGACCAGAACCCGAAGACACGGAUGCUGACACAGGCCUUUCGGUUUCAUCUCAUUUAGGCUCCAGUCAGCAAGCACAUCCUGCCGAACACGUCCUGUUCUCAACGGCCUUUUGGCCUCAAACGUCCGACCACCUAACUCAAACUGGAUUAAAUAGCAAAGGCAAUUCAUCAUUGCACCUGACAUAAAAACACAGAGGUGGGCUUGACAGUCGGGCAUACUGCGAUCUGGGCUGUAUUUCUGCCACUUUCUCAGCCCUGCCCACCGACCUGUAUUUGCCAGGCUCUCCCCCACGAUUGCAAGAUGGCACCAACUGCCUCAUUCACACCCAGCCAGGGCUGAGCUUCGGGCCAAUGGAGCACGUCCGGGGUCCAGGAGAUGGAUGCUCUGAUGGGCCUGGCUUACCCGCCCUGCCCACCGUUCCAGGGACACCUGGUACCCUGGGGCCGGGAGCAGAGUCCCCACCUCCCAGACUGCUGAAUGGGGGGGUAGAGGUGAGAGGACGGUGGGCAUACGACCCCACAGUCCGUUACGUGCACUGUGUGUACAAGGGGAAAGGGGAAAUGGCUGUCUGACCUCAGACUUUUUACAGAACAAAUUUGGAGUUCAUCACUUUAAGAUAAUGGAGAAGACCAAAAUAGGGUCUUUUCCUCCGAGACCCUCGAAGACUUCUUGGAAGAAAAAUGCAUGGACACCCACCUAUACGGUGUGGGGCCUGUAUGAGGUCCUGGAAUAGAAACACGGAAGGGAUACACCCCUUGGCCUGGAGGUGCCCGGGGGGCCCUCCCCCCUGGGGCUAGCAGCUCUCAGGCUCCAUGUCCUGUGGGAAAACCUGAGGGGCUGAGGCCGUGGGCACAGGAUCUCAGUGGUGGGGUGGGCUGCUGGGCGGCUGCCUCGGUGCCUCCGGCAGGGUGGCAGCUCAAGGACACCGAGCCCUGCCUCCUUCCGAGGUCUGCCAGGGUGCUCUGAAUUCUCCUGGUUCCAGAGGACGGAGAGGCCUGGGCAGUCUCACAGGGCAUCACUGGAAAGCCUCUCAGAGUUACCGUCCACGUUCUCUCUCCUCUGUGAAAGGCAGAUGGGGCCACCAAGGCCUGGGAAAGGAAGGAAGGGGUUUGCUUUGGGAAGGACCAUUUCAUGCAGCCUGCCUCUGAUUGUCUUCCCUCCGAGUGACCUCUUCUUUUCAAAGCACUGGCCUUUUCCAAGGUCUGGGAAGAACAGCCAAGAAAAGCUGGGGGCCGCCUUCUUUUAGGGUUGACCUUUCCUCCCUUUCAUGUGGUAAAGAAGCCCCCUUUGAGGGCCGCAGUGUGUGAGCCUUUUAAUUGCAGAGCUAAUCCGAACCAGAGCAAGACCAUCCGUGCCCCUUGUUUGCAUUCAUUCAUCUCCAAAGGGGACCUGGGCCCCUCCCUUAUCUGGUCUUGUAUCAGCCGAAUGACGCAAAUGUUUACAAAGGGCUCAGCAAGAGAUAGCACAUUAUCGCUCCUUCCCACCAUAGAUGGCGUGGGAGGGGCGUUUACUCUCUUAAGAUUAUUAAAUCUUAGCUCCCAGUGGGUGAGGCAACCCAGACCUCCGAGAAACUGCUCUGCCCCCCGUGCAUGGCCCUGCACAGCUGGGAUGUCCCAGGAAAGAGAAGAAGAGGGGCCUCCCGCAGCACCGCCACCAGAAGGGGCACCGGGACCGAUUAUGAGGAAACUGGAAGCCUGGCGGUGUGUUUGAGGAUCUCUGAGACCCCCCUCCAUGCCAACACCCAUGCCCACACCUGAUCAUAUGCAACACGAAGCCCUGCUCUCUGGGCCCACCAGCCCAGGAUGAGCCACUGAGAGCUUGGCAAAGCCCGGGCCUGCCUGGAGACAUCUGCCUUUGCCCUUUGUCUUCCUGAGCACUGCCUGGGGGACCGAUGAGGCCACACACCUACAGGUCGGCAGCACCCCGAGGUUGGACGGGAAGAGGCGGAGACAGGAAUAGGUCCACGCUUCUUAAAGCUCCUUCUGGGACCUGGAGGUUCAUUUCCAAACUGAGAGAUUGCAGGUCUGGCUCCUUGUGCCCACCUCACCAUGUCUGCCCACCAUCACGUUGAUAGAACUAUUCUAUGUGGAUAACGGGCUGGAAAACCUCAAAGGAAUUGAAAAGUUAGGAUGUAUUUGAGGAAAACCGUAGCCGACGCAUGGUGGUCGGGCUCCUUCCACCAUUGCCUGGGUGACACCCUGUUCCGGGCUCUGACUCCAGGACAGCCACGACUCCCCACAAGCCAAGCUUGCUGCAGCUGCGUCCUUUGGAGCUGGGACACGAGGUUCUUGGUGGAUCACUCUUCCCUCGAGAGAUGUGUCCUCUGAAUUUAUCCAGGUUGGAGUCCGCUGGCCACCGGUCAGGACACAGAUGGGCACAGUCCCUGGCGAGGUCCUGCUGGCGACCCUGGCGGGGGCAGCCCACCAAAGGCAAUGUGCUCCCCAUCACCCCGUGGCCGAGGCCUCGGCCUCAACAAGCAGAGGGAAGCAGGCACCCCUGCUCCUUUCAAGGCCCCCCUGCCCUGUGCACCACCAGCCCCCACGUUAAUUUAAGAAGCUAACUAAGACUAUUUGGCCCACUUGCCAGGAACUGAAGAGGGUGGGAGAGCGAUAAGCCAAGCUCUUGCUUAAUUAGAAGCACAUUUGUACGAGGUUAGGCCUGGCAGGAAAAUGACAAAGGCAGUUAGAAUUUUUAAAUCGAGCCAUUCUGUCCUGAGAGAUUUCUUCCAGACCCUGGUGGAUUCGGGAUGCUGGGUUUUCUCUUCCAACAGAGCCUGAACAUCUGAGCUGGGGUGAGCCAAGUGUUAGUCCCCUGUUGUUUUCAAACAAGUGGAACUUUUUUCCCCAAAGUGACCCCACCUCUUGAGCCCAUGGCAAGAAUGAGGCAUGCUAGGCACGCGCCUGGACACGGUGACGGGUGUGGGGAGGACAGGGGGCGUCUGCAGGAACCACAGACCUUCGAAAUGCCUCAGUAAAAACGGCUUCUUCGGAAGGCCUUCCUAAGCCUGCCUCCUAAGGCUGCAGCCGAUGAAGACACUGCCCAAGUGCCGGGUGAGAAAAGUGAGAUGCACUCACGUCUGACAGCCAUGUCCGCCUCUUCGAUCUCUGUGACUCCAGAGGGCAGACCUGAGCCAUGGGGAAAUCACAGGGGGACAGACUUCCUAUGGCUGGCACUGCCCACGAAGGCAACCACAGGCAGCUCACCCUACCUCUGGGUGCUGAGAGACCGGAACCCCAUCUCCUGGCCAUGUUGGGAAGGGGGCCUACAGUGGGGGCAGGGCUAUGGGACUACGUGAACAUCCGCCCGUGAUCUGAAAAUUCUCUGAUGCUAGAUUAUUCUGUGACCCUCUGGAAAAGAUGUUUCUUGCCCAGAAGUUUGGAAAACAAUUGUUCUUGUACAUUUUACUGUUGACUGUCAGGUCCUUUUCUGGAUGAGAAUCCAUUUGAUAAAGCAAAAGACUUUAAUGCUCUGCACUGG